CCCAGCAGUAAGCAACUGCCUAGACUGCAUUAUAGCUGGGAAAGUGUUGCACUGCUGGGAGAAAAGCAGAUAAGAGCUGGAGGGCAUU
Molecule: small nucleolar RNA, 88 nt
Filed under: Ochotona princeps (American pika)
Lineage: Eukaryota; Metazoa; Chordata; Mammalia; Lagomorpha; Ochotonidae
Description: Small nucleolar RNA SNORA74 (ENSOPRG00000022246.1)
Source: RNAcentral